AUUGAACACUGGCGGCAUGCCUUACACAUGCAAGUCGAACGGUAACGGGCCUUCGGGUGCCGACGAGUGGCGAACGGGUGAGUAAUACAUCGGAACGUGCCCGAUCGUGGGGGAUAACGAGGCGAAAGCUUUGCUAAUACCGCAUACGAUCUACGGAUGAAAGCAGGGGACCGCAAGGCCUUGCGCGGACGGAGCGGCCGAUGGCAGAUUAGGGAGUUGGUGGGAUAAAAGCUUACCAAGCCGACGAUCUGUAGCUGGUCUGAGAGGAUGAUCAGCCACACUGGGACUGAGACACGGCCCAGACUCCUACGGGAGGCAGCAGUGGGGAAUUUUGGACAAUGGGCGCAAGCCUGAUCCAGCCACGCCGCGUGAAUGAUGAAGGCCUUCGGGUUGUAAACUGCUUUUGUAAGGAACGAAAAGCCUUCUUUUAAUACAGGAGGGUCAUGACGGUACCGUAAGAAUAAGCACCGGCUAACUACGUG
Molecule: ribosomal RNA, 482 nt
Filed under: uncultured bacterium
Lineage: Bacteria
Description: partial 16S ribosomal RNA
Rfam family: Bacterial small subunit ribosomal RNA
Source: RNAcentral